Molecule: small nucleolar RNA, 128 nt
Filed under: Castor canadensis (American beaver)
Lineage: Eukaryota; Metazoa; Chordata; Mammalia; Rodentia; Castoridae
Description: Small nucleolar RNA SNORA51 (ENSCCNG00000018279.1)
Rfam family: Small nucleolar RNA SNORA51
About the family: ACA51 is a member of the H/ACA class of snoRNA that guide the sites of modification of uridines to pseudouridines.
Source: Rfam by way of RNAcentral
GGCCUCCUGGUGCUUACCACAGGCUGUGUUCUUACACUGACUGCAUUCAAAGAGGAGGCAAAGUAAACCUUCCCCAUAGGCCUCAGCCCAGGCCGUGUCUAGCCUGUGUUGUGAAUGGGGAGACAAGG